RNAcentral lists this transfer RNA (69 nucleotides) under Sciurus carolinensis (gray squirrel). It matches the Rfam family "tRNA". From Rfam's summary of the family: Transfer RNA (tRNA) molecules are approximately 80 nucleotides in length. Their secondary structure includes four short double-helical elements and three loops (D, anti-codon, and T loops). Lineage: Eukaryota; Metazoa; Chordata; Mammalia; Rodentia; Sciuridae. RNAcentral also lists the same sequence under 2 other names. The record is from Rfam by way of RNAcentral.
GGAGUUGUGGCUCAGUGGUAGAGCGCUUGCCUAGCAUGUGUGAAGCACUGGGUUCGAUUCUCAGCACCA